UUGGAGGGCAAGUCUGGUGCCAGCAGCCGCGGUAUUCCAGCUCCAAUAGCGUAUAUUAAAGUUGUUGCAGUUAAAAAGCUCGUAGUUGAAUUUCGGGAUCAAUGUUUCGGUCAUGCCGUUGGUAUGUACUGAUAUUAUUGGUUUCUCACCUUCUAAAGAACCGUAAUGCCAUUAAUUUGGUGUCACGGGGAAUUAGGACUGUUACCUUGAAAAAAUUAGAGUGUUUAAAGCAGGCUAACGCUUGAAUACAUUAGCAUGGAAUAAUGAAAUAGGACGUUCGAUCUUAUUUUGUUGGUUUCUAAGAUUGACGUAAUGAUUAAUAGGGAUAGUUGGGGGCAUUAGUAUUCAAUUGUCAGAGGUGAAAUUCUUGGAUUUAUUGAAGACUAACUACUGCGAAAGCAUUUGCCAAGGAUGUUUUCAUUAAUCAAGAACGAAAGUUAGGGGAUCGAAGACGAUCAGAUACCGUCGUAGUCUUAUCCAUAAACUAUGCCGACUAGGGUCGGAUGAUGUUAAUUUUUUAAUGACUCAUUCGGCGCCUUACGGGAAACCAAAGUGUUUGGGUUC
Molecule: ribosomal RNA, 564 nt
Filed under: uncultured Glomeromycotina
Lineage: Eukaryota; Fungi; Glomeromycota
Description: SSU rRNA
Rfam family: Eukaryotic small subunit ribosomal RNA
Source: RNAcentral